Molecule: long non-coding RNA, 414 nt
Organism: Tachysurus fulvidraco (yellow catfish)
Lineage: Eukaryota; Metazoa; Chordata; Actinopteri; Siluriformes; Bagridae
Exons: 2
Source: RefSeq, a predicted model, not a curated record
AAUAAGCAGGAUGUGACCUACAGCUCUGUAAACACUGCUUCCAACAACAAAACUGUGAGUAAAUUCUGUUAAAUGGAGUCUGUUCCAGUUCAGUCCAAGCUACAGAUCUAUGUGUAUAAACUGAUAAUAAACACUUUACUCACUAAUCUGCCAGGGACUUUAUUCAUAUCCUGUUCUAGGUUUCUCCAAAUGAUGUCACUAAUGAGACCCUCUACAGCUAUGAGGUUUACCAGUAAGAGAGGAUGACUUACUGUCCACUGGCUGUGGGGCCUCAGGGAUCUCUACUGGGUCAUGUGUCCAUCCUCAACAUCCUUACAGAUAAAUUCCCAGUCAGGACAAGGACAACAUGCCCCACACUCACUCCACAGACUUACUGUACAUCACAGUCACAUGACCCUCAGUCAUUCAGAAAAA